This 581-nucleotide long non-coding RNA is filed under the name Equus caballus (horse). RNAcentral's name for it is "lncRNA (ENSECAG00000057186.1)". Lineage: Eukaryota; Metazoa; Chordata; Mammalia; Perissodactyla; Equidae. The record is from RNAcentral.
CGUUGACAUCAGCCCUGUCGCUGGCACACUACUCUCAGACCCCUAGUGAGAGGCUUCUCAGCGCUUUGAGAGCCACAGACGAGUCCCCAUGGACAUAAAGAAGCUGGAGUUUGAAGAGGUGGAAUCACUUGUCCAGGGUUACUCAGCCAGACAAGGACCAGAACCAGUGCUUGGGUGUUUCACCUCCAAGUCCAGCCACCUUUCCACUACAUCACGAGGUGCCUCGGACAGAGCACCCGGUUAGGAGGUCCUCCCAGCAGGGAGGUCGUAGGGCGGUGGCUUUGGGUAUAGGAGGAGAUGUCGUGAGCUAAGAUGAGGGUGCCUGUCUCAGGGGCGCAGCUCUAAAAGCAUCGUGGCAGGCGCGCCAGCGAGUUAGCCAUGAGGUCAGGAGCAGCACGAUGUCAGUCCUGGCAGACGUGUGGAGCAUGGAGCCACACGGAGACUUGAGUUCAAAGCGAAGUCUCAGCAGAUGUGGGUAGAGCAGAGAGUCAGCCUGGCCUGGCGGCCACCGUAACAGGAUUCUGGUCCUGGAAGCCUCACUUUGGGACUUUGGGUCAGUCAUUUAAACUCUUUGAGCCUCA